CCAUUAGAAAGCUUUAGUUGGAGUGCCUGGGAGAGCGGAGGCUUCGUGGCCGUUUGUCUGCCGUCGAUCAUCGGACACAAAGUAUGGCUGCGGAUCGAGAGUUUGUUUUCUCUCCCUCUCCACCCCCUCCCUCCCCCCUCCCCGGCCGGGGAGGUGGUUAGGUGGUACCCAUGCUGACAGCGGCUAUCUGGAUUCUCGUGGCCAAUUCAGGAUAGGGGAACUGCAGCUCAACCUCCUCGAAGAGCACUGCCAGGACAAUUGAGGGCUCCUUUCGGCAGCCCUCUGCUGUGACAUGGACAUCCACUUUUUAUUUAAUUGAUUUUCAUGUUGUAUCAUUUGUGCCCUCUCUGCAUCCAUUUCAACCUGGUGAUCCUGAAAGGGGGAUCCUUCCAUCUGUGGUCCCUUCUCAAGGUUUCUCAUUUUCCCCCUGCUAGGGGUUUUUAAGUUUUUCCUUGCCCUUUUGGGAGCUUAAGAUCAGGGGAUGCUUUGAGAAUAAUUGUCAAUUUCUGUCUAUGUGAAGCCCUUUGAGACUGCUUGUGAUUUAGGGCUAUACAAAUAAACUUGACUUGACUUGA
Syngnathus typhle (broad-nosed pipefish) is the source of this 575-nucleotide long non-coding RNA. RefSeq lists it as uncharacterized. The record is from RefSeq and is a predicted model, not a curated record. The transcript is spliced from 2 exons. Lineage: Eukaryota; Metazoa; Chordata; Actinopteri; Syngnathiformes; Syngnathidae.